AAGUCGUAACAAGGUUUCCGUAGGUGAACCUGCGGAAGGAUCAUUAACACUAAUGAAAUCCAAAACCUUUUGGAUCAACCCAACCUUAGCGAACCGUUCGUAUUUCCCUUUGCCAUUCUCAAUUUAUCAAACGCAAAACAAUCUGAAGUAAGUAAAGUGUCUGAUUCUUAUUCCCGUGCCUUCUGGCCUGGAAUCAAAAUCUAACGCAAUACAACUCUUAACAACGGAUAUCUUGGCUCUC
This 241-nucleotide unclassified non-coding RNA is filed under the name fungal sp. Its description in RNAcentral is "partial internal transcribed spacer region". The stretch from base 1 to 46 matches the Rfam family "Eukaryotic small subunit ribosomal RNA", at positions 1786 to 1831 of the family's 1831-position model. The record is from RNAcentral. Lineage: Eukaryota; Fungi.